AUCCACCUGGGGAGUACGAUCGCAAGGUUGAAACUCAAAGGAAUUGACGGGGGCCCGCACAAGCGGUGGAGCAUGUGGUUUAAUUCGAUGAUACGCGAGGAACCUUACCUGGGCUCAAAUGCAUAAUGACAAACCCUGAAAGGGGUCUUUCUUCGGACAUUUUGCAAGGUGCUGCAUGGUUGUCGUCAGCUCGUGCCGUGAGGUGUCGGGUUAAGUCCCAUAACGAGCGCAACCCCUACUCUUAGUUGCCAGCAUGUAAUGAUGGGGACUCUAGGAGA
This 278-nucleotide ribosomal RNA is filed under the name uncultured prokaryote. RNAcentral's name for it is "partial 16S ribosomal RNA". It matches the Rfam family "Bacterial small subunit ribosomal RNA", at positions 867 to 1147 of the family's 1533-position model. The record is from RNAcentral.